GAUGAACGCUGGCGGCGUGCCUAAUACAUGCAAGUCGAGCGAACAGACGAGGAGCUUGCUCCUCUGACGUUAGCGGCGGACGGGUGAGUAACACGUGGAUAACCUACCUAUAAGACUGGGAUAACUUCGGGAAACCGGAGCUACUACCGGAUAAUAUAUUGAACCGCAUGGUUCAAUAGUGAAAGACGGUUUUGCUGUCACUUAUAGAUGGAUCCGCGCCGCAUUAGCUAGUUGGUAAGGUAACGGCUUACCAAGGCAACGAUGCGUAGCCGACCUGAGAGGAUGAUCGGCCACACUGGAACUGAGACACGGUCCAGACUCCUACGGGAGGCAGCAGUAGGGAAUCUUCCGCAAUGGGCGAAAGCCUGACGGAGCAACACCGCGUGAGUGAUGAAGGUCUUCGGAUCGUAAAACUCUGUUAUUAGGGAAGAACAAAUGUGUAAGUAACUAUGCACGUCUUGACGGUACCUAAUCAGAAAGCCACGGCUAACUACGUG
RNAcentral lists this ribosomal RNA (497 nucleotides) under uncultured bacterium. RNAcentral describes it as "partial 16S ribosomal RNA". It matches the Rfam family "Bacterial small subunit ribosomal RNA", at positions 28 to 507 of the family's 1533-position model. The record is from RNAcentral.